This 797-nucleotide ribosomal RNA is filed under the name Helix borealis. RNAcentral describes it as "partial large subunit ribosomal RNA". Lineage: Eukaryota; Metazoa; Mollusca; Gastropoda; Stylommatophora; Helicidae. The record is from RNAcentral.
AUUAACAAAAUAAAAUAAAUAUACUAUCACGAAAGGGGGUGAGCUAAACAAAUAUGUUUAUUUUAUAAUACGUAGUAUAGUAUUUUUAUAAUAUGUGUUUAGGGGUGAUAGGCUUUUCAAGCUUUCUGAUAACUUGAUUCAUAUGAAAAGUAUUUAGUACCAAAACAUACUUAAAAAGUUAAGCUUUUAAGUAACUAUUAAACAUAUUUUUUAAUCUAAUGUAGUAUAAUAACUAGUUAUUAAUAAUCUUAAUAUUUUUUAUAUGUUUUUAUAAUAAAUAGUAUGAUAGCAUGAAUUAUUUUAGUGUUUGAUAAUGUUAAUAUUAGUAGUAUUUGUUUAAAUGUGUUAAAGGAACUCGGCAAAUAACUUCUCAACUGUUUAUCAAAAACAUAGCUAUGUGAAUUAAUAUAUAGUUAUUUCUGCUCCAUGAUUAUUAAAUAGCCGCAGUACUCUGACUGUGCAAAGGUAGCAUAAUCAGUUGGCUUUUAAUUAAAGUCUGGUAUGAAUGAAAAUAUGGGUAGUAACUGUCUUUAACAUAGUAAUCUGAAUUUAUUAAGCAAGUGCAAAUACUUGCAAGUUUAAAAAAGACGAGAAGACCCUAGAAACUUGAAAUAGUUUUUGUUGGGGCGACAGAAUUACAUUUAACUAAUUUUAAAUACACGACAUUUAAUUGAAAGAAUAAGUUACUCUAGGGAUAACAGCAUAAUUUUAACAGUUUGUGACCUCGAUGUUGGACUAGGUAUUAUAUUCUUAAGACAAGGAUAUAAAAUGCUCUGUUCGAGCAAUUUUACCUACAU